UAGGGAAUCUUCCACAAUGGACGCAAGUCUGAUGGAGCAACGCCGCGUGAGUGAAGAAGGUUUUCGGACCGUAAAGCUCUGUUGUUGGUGAAGAAGGAUAGAGGUAGUAACUGGCCUUUAUUUGACGGUAAUCAACCAGAAAGUCACGGCUAACUACGUGCCAGCAGCCGCGGUAAUACGUAGGCGGCAAGCGUUGUCCGGAUUUAUUGGGCGUAAAGCGAGCGCAGGCGGAAGAAUAAGUCUGAUGUGAAAGCCCUCGGCUUAACCGAGGAAUUGCAUCGGAAACUGUUUUCUUGAGUGCAGAAGAGGAGAGUAGAACUCCAUGUGUAGCGGUGGAAUGCGUAGAUAUAUGGAAGAAUACCAGUGGCGAAGGCGGCUCUCUGGUCUGCAACUGACGCUGAGGCUCGAAAGCAUGGGUAGCGAACAGGAUUAGAUACCCUGGUAGUCCAUGCCGUAAACGAUGAGUGCUAAGUGUUGGGAGGCUUCCGCCUCUCAGUGCUGCAGCUAACGCAUUAAGCACUCCGCCUGGGGGAGUACGACCGCAAGGUUGAA
Molecule: ribosomal RNA, 552 nt
Filed under: uncultured bacterium
Lineage: Bacteria
Description: partial 16S ribosomal RNA
Rfam family: Bacterial small subunit ribosomal RNA
Source: RNAcentral